RNAcentral lists this long non-coding RNA (1827 nucleotides) under Homo sapiens (human). RNAcentral's name for it is "non-protein coding lnc-FOXQ1-20:1". The record is from RNAcentral. Lineage: Eukaryota; Metazoa; Chordata; Mammalia; Primates; Hominidae.
CAGGAAGGAAGGACCUGUCAGCCUGCUGCUUGCCUGAAUGUGACUGACCACGGCCCCAGGUGGUGGAGCUGCCACCUUCCCUGUCUGCUUGCCCCCAGGACCACCACUUUCACCGACCACACUCAGAAUCAGUGAGCCCCUCUGCAGUGCCUGCCUUGUCUGGGCUGACCACCUUCAGUGCCAGAGCUGAGCCAGAGACUUGGCCAUUUUCGGGAGUGCUAACAGUAAAGCCCACUCUAGCGUAGCAAGGAUGAGCAGAGCCAGAUUCUGGGUUGGCAUGAAGGGUUUAAAGAGAGUGAGGUUGAGUGAGCUCCCCUGGCCCACAGAGCAAGGUUGACAAAGGAAGGAAAGGCCCUGUGGUGUGGCCCCAGUGAAGGGCACCAGCGCCGCCUCUGGAUCUCUGUGUCCUCACCUCUGGGGUAAGGGCAUGCUUCCCUCUGGGGUGGAUGUGGCUGACAGCAGAUGCCCUGUCAUGGCUCUUGCCUCAGCUGCAGACCCCGCCAGGGCUGUCCUCUCCCAGCUUUCAGUGGGUAGUGACGGCCCCAUGACCAUCACUGCACUGGGGACGCUUGACCCUGCAGUGGCUUUAGGGCUUCCAGCUUAAACACAGUCAAAAAGCGAAAGGUCUAGUCACCAGAAGACAACAUUUGACAGUAGUAGAAAUCACAACCAAACAUUGUGCUGUUGUACAAUUGUUAUUUGUCAAUUACAAAAUAAUAUUAAAAAAUAAAAAACCCCAAAACAUUGUACUAGCCAUUAGAAAAUUUUUUUUACUGUGUUGAAAUUGCAUUAUAUAAUUUAAGUUGGACAACCAAGACAUUUCAUUUUUGAUGUUGAUUACAACUUUCAAAAUUCGCAAUCUACUAACAUAAUUUAUUUAUAUUGACUUAAUGUAAGUAAAUCAGUUGUGCCUUUGAAAAUGCUACAUUGUUCAUAAAUGAAUACCAAGCUUAUGCAUAGCUAUGUACAGGGAGGUGAAAAAUAUUCAUCUUCUCUGAUAUUAACAGACAGUUAAAUACAGUACUAUCCUUCUCCUAUAUUAGUAGUAGAAUGCUUGGCAAAUACAAUGAUUUGUAGAAUACAUUGAUACAUAUUGUGAAGUGGUUGAGAGACAGCCAGCAGUUGCCACAGCUGCCAAACUCCAGAAGAAGGCUGGUCAGAUCUCCCCACUCAUUCUACUGGUCUUGUGCCUUAGCCACUGUGCACCUCGAACCUGCAUUGUUCCUCGGUUUUCCUAUGGAGAAGGAUCCCCCUGUGUGGGACUGGCAUCCUCUGAGGACUGCAGGACUGUACCUGGGUGAUGAGAAAGGAAGCCAAGGCCAUAGCACUAUAAUUGCAGUGCUCUGCCUUAAAGUCCAGCCUCGAGCCUGCGGCUCGAUUUUCCAGUAAGCUGAGAGCAUGGAGAACACCAGAAAGCCAUUUCGGUUUCUGCUUAUUUCUUCUCUACAGAUUUUGAGGGUUGAAAAAGCACAUUCCAGAAAAGGCAGUGGAAAAUUCUAAAAUAAAAGUGAGGCAGAAUCAGAGUGAGGGGCAUGUUGAGAAUGCCCCUACCAUCUUGAACGGAGCAAAAGAUGGCUCAUAUGUUGACAGCUCCCAAUCCCCCACUUCUGGAGCAGAUUUUCCAGGGGGAAGGACAUUACAGAGUCCAGAUGCCUCUUCCAUGAUUCCAGCACCUCUAAUGUUGUAAGGCCGUGUUAUGAGCACCCUAAAGAUGGCACUUCAGCACACAGUUCUCGAAAUUCUGACCAUUCUAUCUUCUUUUAAAUCCCUCUGUUUUUCCAAAUCCUAAAGCCCUGUGACACACCAGCAGCCGGUAAGCGUCUUUCG